UGGGGAAUAUUGCACAAUGGGCGCAAGCCUGAUGCAGCCAUGCCGCGUGUAUGAAGAAGGCCUUCGGGUUGUAAAGUACUUUCAGCGGGGAGGAAGGCGAUAAGGGUAAUAACCUUGUCGAUUGACGUUACCCGCAGAAGAAGCACCGGCUAACUCCGUGCCAGCAGCCGCGGUAAUACGGAGGGUGCAAGCGUUAAUCGGAAUUACUGGGCGUAAAGCGCACGCAGGCGGUCUGUCAAGUCGGAUGUGAAAUCCCGGGCUCAACCUGGGAACUGCAUUCGAAACUGGCAGGCUAGAGUCUUGUAGAGGGGGGUAGAAUUCCAGGUGUAGCGGUGAAAUGCGUAGAGAUCUGGAGGAAUACCGGUGGCGAAGGCGGCCCCCUGGACAAAGACUGACGCUCAGGUGCGAAAGCGUGGGGAGCAAACA
RNAcentral lists this ribosomal RNA (426 nucleotides) under uncultured bacterium. Its description in RNAcentral is "partial 16S ribosomal RNA". It matches the Rfam family "Bacterial small subunit ribosomal RNA", at positions 355 to 774 of the family's 1533-position model. The record is from RNAcentral.